UACGGAGGAUCCGAGCGUUAUCCGGAUUUAUUGGGUUUAAAGGGUGCGUAGGCGGAUUAUUAAGUCAGUGGUGAAAGCCUGCAGCUUAACUGCAGAACUGCCAUUGAUACUGAUGAUCUUGAGUAUGAUUGAGGUGGGCGGAAUGUGUCAUGUAGCGGUGAAAUGCGUAGAGAUGUGGAGGAACACCAGUGGCGAAGGCGGCUUUCUGGUCUGUAACUGACGCUGAGGCGCGAAAGCGUGGGGAGCAAAC
This 250-nucleotide ribosomal RNA is filed under the name uncultured bacterium. RNAcentral's name for it is "partial 16S ribosomal RNA". It matches the Rfam family "Bacterial small subunit ribosomal RNA", at positions 524 to 773 of the family's 1533-position model. The record is from RNAcentral.